AAAACUUUCAACAAUGGAUCUCUUGGUUCCGGCAUCGAUGAAGAACGCAGCGAAAUGCGAUAAUUAAUGUGAAUUGCAGAAUUCAGUGAAUCAUCGAGUCUUUGAACGCACAUUGCACCCCCUGGUAUUCCGGGGGGUAUGCCUGUCCGAGCGUCACU
Molecule: ribosomal RNA, 158 nt
Filed under: Aspergillus westerdijkiae
Lineage: Eukaryota; Fungi; Ascomycota; Eurotiomycetes; Eurotiales; Aspergillaceae
Description: 5.8S ribosomal RNA
Rfam family: 5.8S ribosomal RNA
About the family: 5.8S ribosomal RNA (5.8S rRNA) is a component of the large subunit of the eukaryotic ribosome. It is transcribed by RNA polymerase I as part of the 45S precursor that also contains 18S and 28S rRNA.
Source: RNAcentral